AUGGCGCCGCCACCACCACUUGAUGAGGAUGAUGACUAUGAAGACCCACUUGAGGAAACCAUCUGUGCUCAAAGAGUGAGGCUGAGCGAACGGGAGGUGUGCAACCUAUGGGACAACUUUCUGCCACGUGCUGAGUUGAUCGGGGCGCCAUUCGUGACCCGUCUGACAAGUACCAUGAUCGAUCGACAUGUCAUGAAAUUGCCAAAGAGCCUAUCUGAGAGUUGUGGCAUCGAGGCUGAUGAAGAAGGCUAUGCUGGAAUACGCCUUACCGCAAGGGGCCCCGUCACUACUUGUGCGUACGGCGUGGAAACGGACGGUCGCACACAUUUAAGUACAUAUGGGUGGAAGAGCUUCCUCGUUGACAAGAAUCUUCAUGUUGGACAGGCCAUCCUUAUUACUAUCAGGAAGACCAACCGUCAAGGCUUGAAGAUGAUGAUCGUCAUCGAUACCAUCUAA
RNAcentral lists this ribosomal RNA (456 nucleotides) under Triticum aestivum (bread wheat). RNAcentral describes it as "partial small subunit ribosomal RNA". The record is from RNAcentral. Lineage: Eukaryota; Viridiplantae; Streptophyta; Magnoliopsida; Poales; Poaceae.